RNAcentral lists this ribosomal RNA (376 nucleotides) under Olividae sp. MNHN IM 2007-33282. Its description in RNAcentral is "partial 12S ribosomal RNA". The record is from RNAcentral. Lineage: Eukaryota; Metazoa; Mollusca; Gastropoda; Neogastropoda; Olividae.
UCUUGGAUGUAAAUUAAUGAUACUUUACCAGAGUACUAUGAAUCAAAUAAAAUUUAAAACUCAAAGGGCUUGGCGGUGUCUUAGACCUUUCAGGGGAACCUGUCUCAUAAUCGACAAUCCUCGUUAAACCUGACCUCUUUUUGCAUUUCAGUUUGUAUACCGUCGUCGUCAGGUAACUUCUAAAAAAUUAGGAGUUAGCAGUAUAAAUAACAUAAAUUAAUACGUCAGAUCAAGGUGCAGCUUAUAAAGAGGUGAAGAUGGGUUACAAUUAUUAACUUAUAAUAACGAAUAAUUAAAUAAAAACAAUUUCUUGUGAAGGAGGACUUGAAAGUAAAAUAUCUUAGAAAAACAAUUUGAAUGUGGCUCUGAGACGUGC